Vespa mandarinia (Asian giant hornet) is the source of this 1430-nucleotide long non-coding RNA. RefSeq lists it as uncharacterized. The record is from RefSeq and is a predicted model, not a curated record. NCBI's taxonomy places the organism in Eukaryota, Metazoa, Arthropoda, Insecta, Hymenoptera, Vespidae.
AGUACGAGUUACUACAGCAAUAUCGCUUAAGUCAGUUGUUUUAUUUUUUCUGCUAAGUAGAAAGGCUUAAACAGAAUGAAGAAAAUAAUCUAAAAGGCAGCAAUAUAUUAUCACAUUAUUAUAAAUGUUUUAAGGAUUCAAGCAAAUAUUAAUAAUCAUAAAUUUAUCCAGUUACAGACGUCAGGACAAGGAUGAAAUCAAAACCUAUUUUCAUGAAAUGAAAAAUGGCUUCAAAAAUGAAAUCUCCUGAAUCUAAGAGAGAGUUAUUGGAAUUUAAAAAGACAAAUAAAAGAAUUUGUUAUAUCAAUUGCUUAGUAAGAAGUGUUAUGUCAUUGAUUCAUUUUUAGAAUAUUUAGACAAGCGAGAUGUUCUAUUUCUACAGCUAAUAUUGGAAUAAAUAGCGACAAAUCUAUGAAAGGAUUUUUAUCAAUUUUUACAAGGUAUAAUGGAUAUUUUGAUUAAAAAAUAUAAAAGAAAUAGAAUACACAUUCAUGACUUGCCAACUAAUUCAAAUAUCUGUGGCGAUAUUAAUUCUAAAAUGUAAAAACUCUUCUUUUACUCGAUCCAAUCAUUUUAUAUUAAUAGUAUUGGUACAGAAAGUUCUGUCUUCAUUGUCAAAAUUAAUUAAGAGUUACUCCGAUACUUUCUACGUCUAUUGACAAGGUCACCAUAAAUGCGGUAAAGUGGUACGACAAUAAGGCCGUUCAUUUGAUGAGCACGUUUUGCGAAGUUGAACCAGUAGACAUAGUGAAAAGGUGGGACAAAAAAAUAAACAGAACGAUCGAUGUAUAACGAUCAAAUAUAGUGAAAACAUACAACUAACACGUGGGUGGAGUAGAUUUGGUUGAUUCGUUGAUAGCGUUGUAUCGAAUUUAAGAAUAUAUAAGAAUAAAAAUUCGAUCAAAAAAGUGGUACCAUUGCAUUAUGUUUUACCUCUUAGAUUUUACGGUGGUCAAUGCUUGGCUCUUAUAUAAGCGAGAUUGCUCAUCGCAUUCUGUAAGCCCCGGUCGUCAGUAUAGUUUAUUGAAAUUUAAAACUGACAUUGCAUCUUGUUUAUGUCAGGAACACAAAGGAACCCAGUAAAAAAGGGGGAGUCCUACUUCAAAUGAGGUAUAUAAAAAAUUGCAAAAUAAACGAAGAAAAAGACCAAAUAUAACGCUACCUGUAGAAGACGUGCGAAAAGAUGAAGUGGUACAUUGGCCAAUUUUUUCGGAUAACAGAGGACGUUGCAGUAUGUAAGACCGGAUGUAAAGGAGUUCCGAAAAUUAAAUGUUCCAAAUGUAAUAUUUAUUUAUGUUUAACGCCAAGUGCCAACUGUUGUGUGGAAUUCCACGCUUAAGCUUUCAAACACAAAAUUGCGAACAUUAUAGGCCGUUGUGACCUGAAAGUCACAUAGUGAAUAUACUGCAAUAAAAUUGUUUAAACAGAAA